Long non-coding RNA from Danio aesculapii, 1090 nucleotides. RefSeq lists it as uncharacterized. The record is from RefSeq and is a predicted model, not a curated record. Lineage: Eukaryota; Metazoa; Chordata; Actinopteri; Cypriniformes; Danionidae. The transcript is spliced from 4 exons.
GCUGCAGCAUGCACACAGAACGACGUCGUUGCUCAGAGUGUCACCUGUACCGGACCAGUUUUGGAUUUCUGUGGAGUUUGAGGGCUUUAUACAACGUGCAACACAUAAAGGGAUGUCAGAGUCAUGAAUGACAGAUGGCCAGGACAUAUAGCUGAAGAAGAAUAGAAGUGGUUGCCCAGUCCCCAUAUCGGCCAAAAUUAAAAGAAAGCUGGCCCGUCGUCUUUGAACCAUUCCAGAUAAAUGAAGAAUUCUGAAGGUGUACUACAGUUCCACUACAAUCAGUGUUUAUGUCCCAGCUGGACAAGUACACUCCAAAAUUUCUUGACCUGUUUAGUGCGAAGGGUGGAGCAGCUAGUCAGCGCAUCAAGAACUUGUUAUUGGAACUGAUCCAGGGGAAAACGGAGAGCAGUGUCCAUGAGGACUUGAAAAUGCUCAAUAUGCACAUAUAUGUCUGCCGUGAACCAGAUGCGGUGGGCUUCAUCAUUGAGGGAAUCCCAGUGCUUACUGAUCUUGGCCAGGGCAUGUUGCCUGCUUCUGGGGAUGACAUGCUCUGAACCUGCAGUAUCCACCACAACUCUGCAAAACAUUUAAGGUGUUCCAAAGACCUUUUGUGGGACUAGACAUAGUGCGCCCAAAGCCUUCCUCCUGAUUUAUGACAGUAAAAAACAAACAUCUGAGUUUGAGCAAAUGCAAGCCUCACACUAAAUAGCAAUGUUGUGUUUUUGUUGAAUUUUCUAGAAGAUAGUUGUGAAUGUUUAAUUGUUAAUUGGCUGGGCUCAGAGCUUGUUUCUUUCACUCUUGUUCGAUGGACAGUUUAAUUUAGAACAAUGUGGUUGUCAAGCACAGAUGACUUUAGUUCCUGGGUAUGUCUGCAGCUUCUGGGCACUUGAUGUGCUGAAGUUUGUUUUGUUAUGUCAAGUGCUGAGGUCAGAUGCCCUUUAUUUUAUUUUUAUGUCAAAUAUUUUAUUGGAAUAUAGCACUGACUGUACUUCAAACAUGUUCUUGUAUUAGUUUAUUAUGUAUUGGUACAAAUGAAAAUGUAUUGUUGUGCACCAAAUUCAUUCCAUUUAUGUAAAUUGCUCAGGUCAAG